This 497-nucleotide ribosomal RNA is filed under the name uncultured bacterium. RNAcentral's name for it is "partial 16S ribosomal RNA". It matches the Rfam family "Bacterial small subunit ribosomal RNA", at positions 28 to 507 of the family's 1533-position model. The record is from RNAcentral.
GAUGAACGCUGGCGGCGUGCCUAAUACAUGCAAGUCGAGCGAACAGAUGAGGAGCUUGCUCCUCUGACGUUAGCGGCGGACGGGUGAGUAACACGUGGAUAACCUACCUAUAAGACUGGGAUAACUUCGGGAAACCGGAGCUAAUAUCGGAUAAUAUAUUGAACCGCAUGGUUCAAUAGUGAAAGACGGUUUUGCUGUCACUUAUAGAUGGAUCCGCGCUGCAUUAGCUAGUUGGUAAGGUAACGGCUUACCAAGGCAACGAUGCGUAGCCGACCUGAGAGGGUGAUCGGCCACACUGGAACUGAGACACGGUCCAGACUCCUACGGGAGGCAGCAGUAGGGAAUCUUCCGCAAUGGGCGAAAGCUUGACGGAGCAACGCCGCGUGAGUGAUGAAGGUCUUCGGAUCGUAAAACUCUGUUAUUAGGGAAGAACAAAUGUGUAAGUAACUAUGCACGUCUUGACGGUACCUAAUCAGAAAGCCACGGCUAACUACGUG